GACGAACGCUGGCGGCGUGCUUAACACAUGCAAGUCGAGCGGUAAGGCCCUUUCGGGGGUACACGAGCGGCGAACGGGUGAGUAACACGUGGGUGACCUGCCCUCAGCUCUGGGAUAAGCCUGGGAAACCGGGUCUAAUACUGGAUAUGACUCCAUGACGCAUGUUGUGGGGUGGAAAGCCUUGUGCGGCUGAGGAUGGGCCCGCGGCCUAUCAGCUUGUUGGUGGGGUGACGGCCUACCAAGGCGACGACGGGUAGCCGGCCUGAGAGGGCGACCGGCCACACUGGGACUGAGACACGGCCCAGACUCCUACGGGAGGCAGCAGUGGGGGAUCUUGCGCAAUGGGCGAAAGCCUGACGCAGCGACGCCGCGUGAGGGAUGACGGCCCUCGGGUUGUAAACCUCUUUCAGCUCCGACGAAGCGAGAGUGACGGUAGGAGCAGAAGAAGCACCGGCCGACUACGUGCCAGCAGCCG
Molecule: ribosomal RNA, 475 nt
Filed under: uncultured bacterium
Lineage: Bacteria
Description: bacterial SSU rRNA
Rfam family: Bacterial small subunit ribosomal RNA
Source: RNAcentral